AAUAAACGCAUCUAUGUAUUUUUAAGAUAGAAUUUUUGACUCCUCGUCUUAUUUAAAUUCUUUUAUGAUUAAUAUUUUUAUUGUUACUGCAUGAUAAAACAUGAAUAGUAUUUUACGUGCGACUAAUUUUUUUUAUUUUUAAUAAAUUUUUUAAAUAAGACGGAUAGUCAAAUGCUCGACCUAGAAAACUCAGA
This 194-nucleotide microRNA precursor is filed under the name Oryza brachyantha (malo sina). Its description in RNAcentral is "MIR812 microRNA precursor family". It matches the Rfam family "MIR812 microRNA precursor family". Lineage: Eukaryota; Viridiplantae; Streptophyta; Magnoliopsida; Poales; Poaceae. The record is from Rfam by way of RNAcentral.